This 449-nucleotide ribosomal RNA is filed under the name uncultured bacterium. RNAcentral's name for it is "partial 16S ribosomal RNA". It matches the Rfam family "Bacterial small subunit ribosomal RNA", at positions 354 to 796 of the family's 1533-position model. The record is from RNAcentral.
GUCGAGAAUCUUUCACAAUGGGGGCAACCCUGAUGGAGCGACGCCACGUGGAGGAUAAGGUCUUCGGAUUGUAAACUCCUGUCAUGCGUGAACAAGGUUGCUUGGUUAAUACCUGGGCAAAUUGAUGGUAACGCAAGAGGAAGAGACGGCUAACUCUGUGCCAGCAGCCGCGGUAAUACAGAGGUCUCAAGCGUUGUUCGGAAUCACUGGGCGUAAAGGGUGCGUAGGUGGCGUGGUAAGUCAGAUGUGAAAGCGCGGGGCUCAACCUCGGAACUGCAUCCGAUACUGCCAUGCUAGAGUACUGGAGAGGUGACUAGAAUUCUCGGUGUAGCAGUGAAAUGCGUAGAUAUCGAGAGGAAUACCAAAGGCGUAGGCAGGUCACUGGACAGUUACUGACACUGAGGCACGAAGGCCAGGGGAGCGAACGGGAUUAGAUACCCUGGUAGUCC